Lepisosteus oculatus (spotted gar) is the source of this 71-nucleotide non-coding RNA. The record is from Ensembl. NCBI's taxonomy places the organism in Eukaryota, Metazoa, Chordata, Actinopteri, Semionotiformes, Lepisosteidae.
GGUAGGAUGGCUGAAUGUAUAAGCGGCGGAUUGUAGCUCCGUACACAGAGGUUUAAUUCCUCUUCUUAUCA